Scleropages formosus (Asian bonytongue) is the source of this 3617-nucleotide RNA transcript. It is a transcript of the gene named metastasis-associated protein MTA1-like, with no coding region annotated. The record is from RefSeq and is a predicted model, not a curated record. Lineage: Eukaryota; Metazoa; Chordata; Actinopteri; Osteoglossiformes; Osteoglossidae. The transcript has 20 exons.
AUCGUUCUCUCACACGAUUCGCAUUGACGAAUCCACCAUUUUCCAAAACGGAGUAGCGGUCCGCGGCAGCGAGGAGGACGGCGGCUCGCGCUACCUGCGCACAGCGGCGCGAGCGGGGCGCUUAUGGCAGCCAACAUGUACCGAGUGGGAGAUUAUGUCUAUUUUGAGAAUUCGUCCAGCAACCCCUUCCUGAUCAGAAGGAUAGAGGAGCUUAAUAAGACUGUUAACGGCAACGUGGAGGCCAAGGUGUUGUGUUUCUACAGACGCCGGGACAUAUCCAGUGCGCUUGUUGCUCUUGCGGACAAGCAUGCACGAGAGAUGGAACAGGAGAUGGAGAACCUAGACUUGCUCAGCCUCCCAGAGCAGCAGAAGCACCAGCUACGGCACAGAGAGCUCUUCUUAUCCCGCCAGCUGGAGUCUCUGCCUGCAACACACAUCAGAGGCAAAUGCAGCGUCACGCUGCUCAACGAAACCGAGAUACUCACGUCUUACCUGGAUCGAGAGGACUCCUUUUUCUACUCCCUGGUGUAUGACCCCCAGCAGAGGACUCUCUUGGCAGACAAGGGCGAGAUCAGGGUCGGGAGCAAGUACCAGGCAGAGGUUGCCGAUUCCCUGGUAGAUGAGGUGGACCAGGACCGGGACCAGUCCAAAUUGGAGGAGAAGGUGUGGGAUCCUAGCAGCACUCUGACCGAUAAGCAGAUCGACCAGUUCUUGGUGGUAGCUCGCUCAGUGGGCACCUUUGCUCGGGCCCUGGACAGCAGCAGUGCGGCCCGCCAGCCCAGCCUUCAUAUGAGUGCCGCCUCUGCCUCCCGGGACAUCACGCUGUUCCAUGCCAUGGAUGUGCUCCACAAGACGGGCUAUGAUAUAUCCCGAGCCCUAAGCGCCCUUGUACCCCAUGGGGGUCCGGUUCUGUGCCGGGACGAGAUGGAGGAGUGGAGCCCUUCUGAGGCAAGGAGGUUUGAGGAGGCGCUGGAGAAGUACGGGAAGGAUUUUGCCGACAUUCGGCAGGACUGCCUCCCAUGGAAGUCCCUCACAAGUAUUGUUGAAUUCUACUACAUGUGGAAGACAACGGACAGAUACGUCCAGCAGAAACGGUUAAAGGCGGCAGAAGCGGAAAGCAAGUUGAAGCAGGUCUAUAUCCCUAUCUACAACAAGCCCAACCCAAACCGGCUGAGUGGCGCUGGUGGGAAGACAAGCCUUGUAAAUGGUUCUGGGGUGGUGUCGAACCCUCUGGGCCAGGCUGUGGACCUCAGCCGGCCUUGUGAGAGCUGCCAUGCUGCAGCCUCUUCCCAGUGGUACUCGUGGGGUCCGUCGCUCAUGCAGUGCCGCCUGUGUGCCCCCUGCUGGGUGUACUGGAGGAAGUAUGGCGGGCUGAAGAUGUCCACACGGCUAGAUGGAGAUCGGCCAGGGCCCAGCAGCAUGAGCCCCCACAGCCAGCUGGAGAGAUUUGGUUCGAAUCCAAAGUUUGCACCAAAAACCAGGCAAGGCUUCUACAUGCAGACAUCCCAGCUGACGAGGGCUGCCAGGCGGGCGUGCCAUGAAAUGUUGCGGCCCAGACACCUCGCCCGCAACCCCUACACCCCACUGACCGCGGUCGCCGCAAGGGCAAAGUCAGGUGCAGCGCGGUGGCAGGAAGUGGCCAGGAAUUCCUUGCCUUUGAAGCCAGUUGUGCGGAAGCCCCUGGAAUCGGUGAUCAGAUACCUUGUGACCCACCCCAGGCUUCAGAAACCCAGAGCCCCUCGCAACAGCACCCAGUGCACAGAGAACCAGGUGCCUGUCAAGACAACCCCAACCCUCAACAACAGCUCUCCCACCAUCCUAGGCAGGAGGAGCUAUGAGCACCACAACGGGCUGGAUGGUAAACCUAACCAUGGACAAACCAGACAGAUGAGCGCUCUUCUCACACAGUGACGCAGAGCGCUGAAGGGUUUGCCUCAGGCAGCUUCACAUCUGUCUGGGGACCAUCCUGGAAAGUGCUGGAGCAUCCCUACUCAACUGACACUAGUGGACCCGGCAGCUUGUGCCUAUUGUCAGGUGUGUCUUUACCACAAUAAUGGGGGCUGUAACGUCCAGCAGGCGCAGUGUCUCUGGGCAGCAAUAUGUGCACUUCAACACUUCCUAGGGCUGAAGGAGAACAUUUGUGUAUAUUUAGUACAUAUUACACCUCUGGGCCAAAAAUGUCCUUUUAGUUCAUGUGUAUAUGUGAAAAUUCUAAAGAGUAGAUACACAUUUCUAAACUCAUUACGCUGCAUUUCUUUUAGACAGCCAGUUAAACUAGCAUUUUGGUGCUCCUCUCAGCAAAAGAGGGAAUUUUUCUUGUUAAAUAAAAAUUAACCAAAUAACGUAAGAAUUUUAUGUCCGCCAUCAUAUAUUUUUGAAUUUGUUUUAAUAUUGUUUAAUCCAAUUUUAUUGUAUACCUUAAAGGUACACAUAGGGCCAUUAGGUGGUGUAGUGGUGAGAGCUGCCGCUGUGGACCCAAAAGACCAGAGUUUGAAUCCCCACUCCUGCUGUAGUACCCUUGAGAAAAAGGGGAGGAAAGACAACCCUGCUGCCCUCUUGGAUUUGCCAUAGUCCCACGUAGGGAUGCUCCAGACCUCACUCAGGGUGCUCGGUCUGCUCUGCUUUUCUGUCUAGCCUCCUCUUCUUUCUCCGUUUGUGAAUCACUGCCAUUCACAGGAAUAGUUAAAUGUUCAUCUCACUGUAAUGUAGCUUUUUAUUCCCACUUUGUACACAGACAGUGUGCUCAUUCAAAAAAUACCACGUGUUUGUAAUCAUUUGUGUGGUAUAAACUUUAAGCUCAUGAGUCUGGCAAUCCCACUGGAUUUAGACUGGACGUGCCCAUAGAUGUCCACAUGGAUUUUAAGAAACAAUCAUUGUUCAGAUCAAGAUGAAUUGGACAUCUGGGCUGAAUAUUUAUAUUUCACAUGACUCCUAAAUAGUACACUAUAAUGUGUGCACUACAGUAAGUCCUCAACUUUCGAACAUGAUAUUUUUGUGAAAAACACAGGUGACAUUUGCCUUUGCAAUGGCAGUUUUCUCAGCUUCGUUAACUUAUUUUACUAUUUUCGCUUUCCUUCACAUAGUACCUGUGCAUUUUUCUUACAAGCAGUAUAUUGUUUUCAUAAUGCUCUGCUGGAGGAAUUAAAAAAAAGAACAUGAGAAAUAUGCUGCAGUGAUGUGAAUGCCAAGCUGCCCCAGCACUGGUGGCAGCUUAGCUGGGCAUGCUGGAACUUCUGGGAAUUCUGGGGCUGCCAAUGAAUCCUGUUUUCAGCGAUGUGGUGAAAUUAUUGCUUGGUGCAGGAAAUUGGACAUACCGUAUGUCCAAGUUUGUUUGUAGUGGACAUACGGUCAGGUGCGUUUGUAUCUCUGAAUGUUUAUAAGUCGAGGACUUACUGUAUAAUUGACAUAUAUGAUAUCUUUGAAAAAAAUGGAUGGCCAGUUACCCAAUGACUUUGUCACACAGAGCUGAUCAACAGGAGUAACGUGACUGCGGUAAUUCUUGUUGAAGAAGCAGUCUAGGAGCUGCCUUAGUUGAGGUGGCAAGUGUGAAGCCCCGGGGCAUCUUUGGAAGGGCCUGCCAAAAAGGCCAUCUGACCCAGAAAUCAUUUCAGCCCCCC